UUUAUUUAACUUAUUAUAUUUACUUUUUGUUAUUUUAAUUAUUUAUUAGAAAAAAUUUUAUUGUAUUU
This 68-nucleotide ribosomal RNA is filed under the name Coryphistes ruricola. RNAcentral describes it as "partial 16S ribosomal RNA". Lineage: Eukaryota; Metazoa; Arthropoda; Insecta; Orthoptera; Acrididae. The record is from RNAcentral.